GAUGAACGCUGGCGGCGUGCCUAACACAUGCAAGUCGAACGGAGUAUAUAUUAUGAAGUUUUCGGAUGGAUUAAUAUAAACUUAGUGGGGGACGGGUGAGUAACGCGUGGGUAACCUGCCUCAUACAGGGGGAUAACAGCUGGAAACGGCUGCUAAAACCGCAUAAUAUUGCGACAUCGCAUGGUGAUGCAAUUAAAUAUUUAUAGGUAUGAGAUGGGCCCGCGUCUGAUUAGCUAGUUGGUGAGGUAAUGGCUCACCAAGGCGACGAUCAGUAGCCGGCUUGAGAGAGUGACCGGCCACAUUGGGACUGAGACACGGCCCAAACUCCUACGGGAGGCAGCAGUGGGGAAUAUUGCACAAUGGGGGAAACCCUGAUGCAGCGACGCCGCGUGAGUGAAGAAGUAUUUCGGUAUGUAAAGCUCUAUCAGCAGGGAAGAAAAUGACGGUACCUGACUAAGAAGCCCCGGCUAACUACGUGCCAGCAGCCGCCGUAA
Molecule: ribosomal RNA, 494 nt
Filed under: uncultured bacterium
Lineage: Bacteria
Description: partial 16S ribosomal RNA
Rfam family: Bacterial small subunit ribosomal RNA
Source: RNAcentral